UGAUUUUUAGCAAUAGCAACUGUGUAGCUUCAGACAAUUAUCUUAGACCUGUCAUAGAAGCUCUCUGCUUCUAUGGUCAUGAUUUAGUUAGCAGUCCACGAAUGAUGGGAACACACAAGAAUGGAGGUGUGAGGAGGGGUGGGAGACCUGAAACACAGCAUCCAUAAGGCAAGCCACACCCAAAGGCUGGAUGUAGAGCAAGUAAAAGGAGUUAUUUCAAACGUACUUGUAUACAGAGGGUAUAUAUAGCCAGACAUAUAGGUGUACAGACAAAUGGGUGGUCUGAUGUGAGCAGAGAACUUGGAGUGCAGUGUCUGCAGAGAACCCUGAGAAGGUGAUCAGGGCCUAGGCAGUGUUUCCCAGGAGUGUGCACAUGAUGGCAGCUGAGUGCCCCCACCAGGUAUCCUUAGACCCCAUGGCUGGCCGAACCAGAAGGCACUCAAGUUCUUGUCCUGCGUGCUGGUCUAGUGUUUCAGCGCCCUCUACUGAGGAAACUUCAUAUUGGGCUUACUGAAAGAAAGGCUUGAGGGAGUAAUGGUUGUUAAUGUACAGCUUGUGAGUACAUUGAGGACUGGAUGAAUGGCCAUCACUUUAUAACCAGCAUGCUAGGUCUAUGUGAAAAUAUGUUUUCCAAUAUUUUCAUUCCGUGAAUUUAGUAACAAAAUAGCAAAUGUAUAUGUAUUUUAAAAUCUUGAAUCCACUAUGUGACAUAGCAUGGAGGAGACAGAAGCAGGAGGAUCAACUUGAGUUUGAGGGCAGCCUGGGCUGGUUAGUGAGUUUUAGGCCAGCCUUAGCUACAGAGUAAGACCCUGUCUAGAAGCAAAGUCCCCAAACUCCAAAGUUUUAAUGUUUUAAAGAAAAGAUUGAUAUAUUUUUAUGUGCAUGGGUGUUUUGCCUACAUGUAUAUCUGUGUAAGGUGGUAGGGUAAGGCACUUGCUAUCAAGUCUGAUGAACUGAGUUCUAUUCCCAGGACCCACGUGAUGGGGAAGCAUCCAACUCCUGAGAGUUUUCUGUGGCUUCCACGUGGGUACACAACAUGCACGUACAACUGAUACUCAGUCAAAACAGUUUUAAAGAAAGAACAGCUGGACCAGGCCAGGGAAUUAGCUCAGUUAUUAGAGUGCUUGUCCAAAAUGCAUGAAGUCCUGGUCUCAAUCCUCAGUACUGCGUGAAGCAGGCAUGGCAGUGUAGGUCUAUAAUACCAUUAUCCAGGAUAUUUUGUGCCAACUUGAAACACCAUCUUUAUAGUAUGCUCAGUUCCCAGAUCUUUUCUGGACACUGCUCUCUUUCAUUGAUUUGUUGAGGUUUGUUUGUUUGUUUGUUUGUUUUGGGGGGUGUUGUUUAGGUUUUUGUUUUUGAGACAGGGUCUUACUGUGUAACUCUGACCCUAUGUAGACCAGGCUGACCUUGAAGUCUCAGUCCUGUGAUUAAAAGUUACACCACUGUACCUAACUUUUUAAAAGUGUAUUUCUAAAGGGGAGGGGUGGGCUGUGUGCAUGUGUAAGUGCAGGUGCCCUUAGCGCAGAAGAGGAAGUAAGGCCACUUGGAGCUAGAACUCCAGAUGCUGGCGAGCCGCAUGGGAUGGGGUUGGAUGGAAUUCGCGGACUCUGCAUGAGUAGUAUGAGCUGUCCUUCCAGCCCCUCACCUGUUUUCUCAUUCCUAUCUCAAAACAGUAGUUUAAAUUAACUUUAGUUUACAUGGCAUGUUUUAUAUACAUAGCAUAUGCAUGCAUGUAUGUAUGAAUGUGUGUGUGUGUUUUCUUAUGUUUUUUAAUCAUCUUAAAUACCUCCGUUAUUUUCUGUUUCCCAGAAUCCCUUUUCCAACCAUGAACUUUAGACUCAGUGCUUGCAUAUCUAUAAAGAAAUCAUCGGGAAGUAUUUUAUCAGAAUUAUUGUACAUUUGUGGGUCAUCUUAGAAUAUUUAUCCAUGUCUUUUGUAUUCUUGAGGGCAAUUUGGUAUGAUUUUAUUACUUUUUUCAUGAUUUUUAAAAAAGAUGUUUGUUUAUUUUAUGUACAUGUACAAUAUAGCUGUCUUCAGACAUACCUGAAGAGGGGAUUGGAUCCCAUUACAGAUAGUUGUGAGCCACCAUGUUUUUGCUGGGAAUUGAACUCAGGACCUCUGGACUCGCUGAACCAUCUCUUUAGCCCCAAUUCUCAUGAUUUUUAAGUAUCUUUAAGGCUUUGUUGUUAUCAUAACUAGAAUGUUGUUAAUUUUUAAAUAUUAAAAAUUUAUUUUGCUUAAGACAAGAUCUGUGUACCCUGGCUGGUCUGGAACAUGCUGUGUAGUCCACGCUGGCCUCAAACAGAUAUCCUCCUGCCUCUGCCCCUAAGUUCUGGGGUUAAAGGCAUGUGCUGCUAUACCUGGUAUUACCAGAAUCCUUUAAAAGUUAAAAUUUAUAAACCAGGUGUAAUAAGUAUAUUCUUUUAUCCCAGCACUUGGCAAAUUAAGCAAAUAGCUAUGAAUUAUAGGCUAGCCUGGGGUAUGUAGCAAGAAUCAGGGCAGCCAGUAAGAGCCUAUCUC
RNAcentral lists this long non-coding RNA (2520 nucleotides) under Mus musculus (house mouse). RNAcentral's name for it is "long non-coding RNA chr2:130432930-130435450". The record is from RNAcentral. Lineage: Eukaryota; Metazoa; Chordata; Mammalia; Rodentia; Muridae.